This 137-nucleotide ribosomal RNA is filed under the name uncultured eukaryote. RNAcentral's name for it is "partial 18S ribosomal RNA". It matches the Rfam family "Eukaryotic small subunit ribosomal RNA", at positions 1299 to 1458 of the family's 1831-position model. The record is from RNAcentral.
UGGUGGAGUGAUUUGUCAGCUUAAUUGCGAUAACGAACGAGACCUUAACCUGCUAAAUAGCCCGCAUUGCUUUGGCAGUGCGCAGGCUUCUUAGAGGGACUAUCGGCUCAAGCCGAUGGAAGUUUGAGGCAAUAACA